GACGAACGCUGGCGGCGUGCCUAAUACAUGCGAGUUGAGCGCUGAAGGUUGGUACUUGUACCAACUGGAUGAGCAGCGAACGGGUGAGUAACGCGUGGGGAAUCUGCCUUUGAGCGGGGGACAACAUUUGGGAACGAAUGCUAAUACCGCAUAAAAACUUUAAACACAAGUUUUAAGUUUGAAAGAUGCAAUUGCAUCACUCAAAGAUGAUCCCGCGUUGUAUUAGCUAGUUGGUGAGGUAAAGGCUCACCAAGGCGAUGAUACAUAGCCGACCUGAGAGGGUGAUCGGCCACAUUGGGACUGAGACACGGCCCAAACUCCUACGGGAGGCAGCAGUAGGGAAUCUUCGGCAAUGGACGAAAGUCUGACCGAGCAACGCCGCGGGAGUGAAGAAGGUUGUCGGAUCGUAAAACUCGGUUGGUAGAGAAGAACGUUGGUGAGAGUGGAAAGCUCAUCAAGUGACGGUAACUACCCAGAAAGGGACGGCUAACUACGUG
RNAcentral lists this ribosomal RNA (497 nucleotides) under uncultured bacterium. RNAcentral describes it as "partial 16S ribosomal RNA". It matches the Rfam family "Bacterial small subunit ribosomal RNA", at positions 28 to 507 of the family's 1533-position model. The record is from RNAcentral.